Molecule: RNase P RNA, 382 nt
Filed under: Variimorphobacter saccharofermentans
Lineage: Bacteria; Bacillati; Bacillota; Clostridia; Lachnospirales; Lachnospiraceae
Description: Bacterial RNase P class A
Rfam family: Bacterial RNase P class A
About the family: Ribonuclease P (RNase P) is a ubiquitous endoribonuclease, found in archaea, bacteria and eukarya as well as chloroplasts and mitochondria. Its best characterised activity is the generation of mature 5'-ends of tRNAs by cleaving the 5'-leader elements of precursor-tRNAs.
Source: Rfam by way of RNAcentral
UGAGUAGCACAGAUGGUCGCGCCUUUUAUGAGGUGAGGAAAGUCCGGGCUUCACAGGGCAGGGUGCCGGAUAACGUCCGGUGGAGGCGACUCCAAGGCUAGUGCAACAGAAAUAAACCGCCAAAUCAUAUCUGACCUGUCAGAUAUGAUCUUUGGUAAGGAUGGAAAGGUGGCUUAAGAGACCACCGCUUUGUUGGUAACAACAGAGGCAGAUGUAAACCCCACCCGAAGCAAGACCGAACAUAAAGCGAUACGGUUGCCCGCCGUGCUUUAGGGUAGGUCGCGUAGUAUUUGCGAAAGCGGAUACUUGAGCCACAUGGUAACAUGUGGUCAAGAUAGAUGACCAUUCAAGACAGAACCCGGCUUAUCGUGCUGCUCAUACA